Long non-coding RNA from Myxocyprinus asiaticus (Chinese sucker), 150 nucleotides. RefSeq lists it as uncharacterized. NCBI's taxonomy places the organism in Eukaryota, Metazoa, Chordata, Actinopteri, Cypriniformes, Catostomidae. The record is from RefSeq and is a predicted model, not a curated record. The transcript has 3 exons.
AUUCUUCUAAAAAUCUUUAUUUGUGUUCUGCAGAAGAAUGAAGGUCAUAUACAUCUGGGAUGGCAUGAAGACAGAUGUAAGACUUCUCAGUGGAAGGAGGAGGCGAGAAGCAGAUUUCCUGGUUCAGAUGUUUUUGAACACAAAAGCCCG